Molecule: transfer RNA, 72 nt
Filed under: Ictidomys tridecemlineatus (thirteen-lined ground squirrel)
Lineage: Eukaryota; Metazoa; Chordata; Mammalia; Rodentia; Sciuridae
Description: Spermophilus tridecemlineatus (thirteen-lined ground squirrel) tRNA
Rfam family: tRNA
About the family: Transfer RNA (tRNA) molecules are approximately 80 nucleotides in length. Their secondary structure includes four short double-helical elements and three loops (D, anti-codon, and T loops).
Source: Rfam by way of RNAcentral
GGAUGUGUGGCUCAAUGGUAGAGCACGUGUCUGGCAUGCAUGAGGCCCUAGGUUCAAUCCCCAGUACUGCAA